CUCUGAGGCAGGAGGGGAUCCCAGCAUGCCAUGGAAACAGUUCAUCCCUGUUUGCUUCUAGAUGAGAACACUGGGAAUGCUUCUCCAUUGGAUUGGCUGCGUAAAGUUUUGGGGCCCUUGCAGCCUGCUGCAAGUAAGUUCACAAUGUCCCCUCAAAGAAAAAUAUUUGACAACAUGGCAAGAGCCAGAUGACAGAAACUUCUUUGGCUGUUGAGUUACAGGGGUGUCUGCAGGGAGGACUUUUCCAGCUCCUCUUCUGGUUGCUCCGCCCAAACCCGCCUCACAUGGCACAGGUGAGUAGUCUGUCCCUGCUGACCUCACAGGCUGAGCUCCGGUUUUCUCUAAUCCGUUCAUGUCAAAUGGAACUGCUUGCCCUUCAGGUCCUCCAAGAGGCAAGAGCCAACCUCCAGGAGAGAAAAAGACCCAUGAGUCAAAUGAAGUUCUGAAAGAAAUUAUGAAGGAACUUCAGAAAGGGCGAGGUGGGUCUGUUUCCUCAGCCUGAGCCGUGAGACCCAUCAGCCGAGGCUUUAGAUCCACGUGUGGACAGGCAGUGGCUGCACAGCGGGAAGGGAUCCAUCGCAGCCUCGCUGCCCCGCUGCUGCUUUCCCGCCUUGUGGGGCUGAUUCCCCGCCUGGCCUGGCUGCAGCUUCUCCCCGGCCUCUGCAGGAAGGCCUUGAGCAUGCCCUGACCCUGUGCCCCAAAUGCACCACGGGCCCUGCAGACCAGGAGAUCCCCUGCAAUUGCCUGGUCUGGUCUCCCGGCAGCUCCGGUGUGGCGGCUGUUUGGAGGAGGGAGUGCCCUGACCCAGCCCCAAAAGCCUGGCUGUUUCCCUGGACCUUUCCCAUGUCUUUUAUAAGCAUUGCCUCCUGAAGAUGCCACUUCCCUUAUGGAGAACAGCUCCCUCUGAUCCAGUUGUCCCUCUUGCUUUCCCCAGAGAUGGACCAAGGGGCUGUUCAGAAGUUAAUGUUCCCUGAAGGAAGCAGUGGCUCCGUGCCAGGCUCUGCUGAGGGCAGGGAGGCGAUGCCAGGCACGGGCACACGGGAUGCAGCCGGUGCCACAACACGUGCUCCCAAGAUCCAGGAGAGCACUGGAAGAGAUUUCUGUUGGGGAACAGGCUGUUUGAUUGUGAUAAUGGCAAGCAUGUUGGGUGGUUUGCUUGCCAUUAUGUCGUGCUGUGCUGGAAUCUGGUACUGGAGGGUGAGAA
Manacus vitellinus (golden-collared manakin) is the source of this 1204-nucleotide long non-coding RNA. The record is from Ensembl. Lineage: Eukaryota; Metazoa; Chordata; Aves; Passeriformes; Pipridae.